GGGGAUUUAGCUCAGCGGCAUAAGCACCUGCCUUGCAAGCAGGCAGUUGUGAGUUCGAUUCCCAGUACCGA
Molecule: transfer RNA, 71 nt
Organism: Cavia porcellus (domestic guinea pig)
Lineage: Eukaryota; Metazoa; Chordata; Mammalia; Rodentia; Caviidae
Rfam family: tRNA
About the family: Transfer RNA (tRNA) molecules are approximately 80 nucleotides in length. Their secondary structure includes four short double-helical elements and three loops (D, anti-codon, and T loops).
Source: Rfam